UCAGGAGUUCUGGGCUGUAGUGCACUACACACUAAGUUUGGCAUCAAUAUGGUGACCUCCCAGGAGUCGGGAACCACCAGUUUGCUUAAGAAGGAGUGAAACAGCCAAGGUUGGAAAGGAAGGAGGUCAAAACUCCCGUGCUGAUGAGCGGUGGAAUCGCGCCUGUGAAUAGGCACUGCACUCCAGCCUGG
This 191-nucleotide signal recognition particle RNA is filed under the name Nomascus leucogenys (northern white-cheeked gibbon). Its description in RNAcentral is "Metazoan signal recognition particle RNA". It matches the Rfam family "Metazoan signal recognition particle RNA", at positions 68 to 274 of the family's 299-position model. From Rfam's summary of the family: The signal recognition particle (SRP) is a universally conserved ribonucleoprotein. Lineage: Eukaryota; Metazoa; Chordata; Mammalia; Primates; Hylobatidae. The record is from Rfam by way of RNAcentral.